UGAAUAGGAAGUCCUCAUGCACACUUUUGGU
Molecule: non-coding RNA, 31 nt
Filed under: Mus musculus (house mouse)
Lineage: Eukaryota; Metazoa; Chordata; Mammalia; Rodentia; Muridae
Source: RNAcentral